Molecule: long non-coding RNA, 243 nt
Filed under: Setaria italica (foxtail millet)
Lineage: Eukaryota; Viridiplantae; Streptophyta; Magnoliopsida; Poales; Poaceae
Description: long non-coding RNA (SITA_LNC005033)
Source: RNAcentral
CCAAGCACUGGGAAAGAGGAGUUACGAUGGAAGAUGAUGAUGAUGAAAAAGAUGAUAACUGCAUUCUUGACUGGACUUAAGGAGGUGCCUUUGCAGAUGUUGCAAUGGGCGAGGCUAAAGAAAAGAUGGUUGCAGACAUCCUACCGAUGAUCUAGGUCAGGUGUUGCGAGAUGUAAAGGAAGACUGCGAGAAUGUGAAGGAGCCAAAAAAGUUUGAGCGUAUGUUAGAUGAUCAUAACAAAUU